This 477-nucleotide unclassified non-coding RNA is filed under the name Hevea brasiliensis (rubber tree). The record is from RNAcentral. Lineage: Eukaryota; Viridiplantae; Streptophyta; Magnoliopsida; Malpighiales; Euphorbiaceae.
GGAUUAUUAAGACAGAACCUAUCUAUGGUGGCAAUUCUCCGUUUGCCUUUGGUCCUCAUGGCACUUACUUGGAGUCACGUUCUGCAAUGGGCGAUGCAUCUGUUUCAUCAUUUAGCAGUGUGGAGUCGAACACACAACCUCUUAAUGAACCUCUUCUGGAUGCUGACACUUCUUCGUUUGGAUUUCUAGGGGAGAUACCUCAAAAUUUUGGUUUCUCAGACUUGACUGCUGAUUUCACUAAUACUUCUGAUAUAUUAGGGAGCUACUCUAGGACUCCCUUUUUAGCAACAGAUACUGGCAACUUGCUCGAUUCAAACGGAGGCAUUGAGAGGUUAACCAAUCCCUCAGAGAACUUGAGAUACACUAAUUUCAGUGGAGAUUGAUCGUGUAUAGGUAGAUUCGAUCAAAACACAUACACGACGAUAGCUUUUGUAUAUUGCUGGCUGCUCAAGUGGUUUUAGGAUAUUUGGAUUUUCU